GAAGAGGGAGAGGAGGGGAGAAAAGAGGGGAAGAUGAGAGGAGGGGAGAGGAAAGGAGAGGGGGGAGAGAAAUGGCAUCUAUCAAAAUAUGAGAUGUCAACAUAAUAAGUUAUUAGGUGCUAUUCCUUGGUACAGCUGCUGUGAAAUAUAUAUCUUCACUGCAAAACAAUGGUGCUUUUUAUUUGACAAUGGAUGUAAAGAGGAUUUUGGAGCAAAAAUGUCUACUUUGUUUUGUUCUAUCAGAUUAUUGGAUGAUUAGAAACUAAAUGUGCUGAGGUGAAGUGGCUUUGUGAUGAUGUCCUCGUCAGAGAGGACUGUGUCUGUGUUGAAGGACUGUGGCUAUUAUAAUGUCCUCGUCAGAGAGGACUGUGUUGGUGUUGAAGGACUGUGGAUAUUAUAAUGUCCUCAUCAGAGAGGACUGUGUCUGUGUUGAAGGACUGUGGAUAUUAUAAUGUCCUCAUCAGAGAGGACUGUGUCUGUGAUGAAGGACUGUGGAUAUUAUAAUGUCCUCAUCAGAGAGGACUGUGUCUGUGUUGAAGGACUGUGGAUAUUAUAAUGUCCUCAUCAGAGAGGACUGUGUCUGUGUUGAAGGACUGUGGAUAUUAUAAUGUCCUCAUCAGAGAGGACUGUGUCUGUGAUGAAGGACUGUGGAUAUUAUAAUGUCCUCAUCAGAGAGGACUGUGUCUGUGUUGAAGGACUGUGGCUAUUAUAAUGUCCUCGUCAGAGAGGACUGUGUCUGUGUUGAAGGACUGUGGAUAUUAUAAUGUCCUCAUCAGAGAGGACUGUGUCUGUGUUGAAGGACUGUGGAUAUUAUAAUGUCCUCAUCAGAGAGGACUGUGUCUGUGUUGAAGGACUGUGGAUAUUAUAAUGUCCUCGUCAGAGAGGACUGUGUCUGUGUUGAAGGACUGUGGAUAUUAUAUUGUCCUCAUCAGAGAGGACUGUGUCUGUGUUGAAGGACUGUGGAUAUUAUAAUGUCCUCGUCAGAGAGGACUGUGUCUGUGAUGAAGGACUGUGGAUAUUACAAUGUCCUCAUCAGAGAGGACUGUGUCUGUGAAGGACUGUGGAUAUUAUAAUGUCCUCAUCAGAGAGGAAUGUGUCUGUGUUGAAAGACUGAUCUAGGGUCAGGCUGGGUAGGUAGGUAGGGGCUGGUAGGUCGAUGAGGUGCUUACUACAUGGGCAUGACUGCAUAUACUUGAAUAGAAGGUCUUCCUCGGAGCCUGGGGUGGUCUCAGUAAUUCUGACUAGAAGGUGUUCUUCAGAGCCUGGGGUUGUCUCAGUAAUACUGAAUAGAAGGUGUUCCUCAGAGCCUGGGGUGGUCUCAGUAAUUCUGACUAGAUGGUGUUCUUCAGAGCCUGGGGUUGUCUCAGUAAUUCUGAAUAGAAGGUCUUCCUCAGAGCCUGGGGUUGUCUCAGUAAUUCUGACUAGAAGGUGAUCUUCAGAGCCUGGGGUUGUCUCAGUAAUUCUGACUAGAAUGUGUUCUUCAGAGCCUGGGGUUGUCUCAGUAAUUCUGAAUAGAAGGUGUUCUUCAGAGCCCGGGUUGUCUCAGUAAUUCUGAAUAGUUCUUCAGAGCCCGGGUUGUCUCAGUAAUUCUGAAUAGUUCUUCAGAGCCCGGGUGGUCUCAGUAAUUCUGACUAGAAGGUGAUCUUCAGAGCCUGGGGUGGUCUCAGUAAUUCUGAAUAGGUGAUCUUCAGAGCCCGGGUGGUCUCAGUAAUUCUGAAUAGGUGAUCUUCAGAGCCCGGGUGGUCUCAGUAAUUCUGAAUAGAAGGUCUUCCUCAGAGCCUGGGGUUGUCUCAGUAAUUCUGAAUAGUUCUUCAGAGCCCGGGUGGUCUCAGUAAUACUCCGGGUUGUAGUGAAAGACAGUUAGUGUUAUAACAUGUGGUUAUAAAGCACUCUGAUUAAUCAGGACUUAAGGUUGACUCAUGUAGCUUUUUUGAAUUGCUUAGUUUACACCAUGUUGACUGUUGCGACUGUAGAGUUGCAGAGUUUUAUUUUUCAUUUGAUCGUUUCUUUAGCAUUAUUUUCAGUAGUGAACCGAUACGUGUCUCUGGCCAGAGUGUAAAUUCCUAAAACGCUUGUUCCCUUGCACAGCCAAAAAAAAGUGUUCACAUAUCCCCCUUUGCUUUAUGUGAAAGGCAACCUGUAAAACAGACUCCUAUAAACCUAGUAAUGAACAUUUUCCCCAAAUGUGUUGAACCUUCAGAUUUUCCAAAGUAUUUGACAAAAGGGUUUUUAUUAGUUAACCAUAAAUCAGACUGAGGCUUCUUUAAAACUUUUGUCAAAGUUGUACUUGUUUAUUUCACAUAAAACAAUAUUGUCAAAUAAAAGAGGGAAUCUAAAAGAUAUUAAAUUGAACUUAGGGCUGAAUAGAACAGUAACCACGGUAACCACGGAGCGACUUAUGACCUAAUGCACAAGAACUAUACUAUGGGAUCCUAUCAGACUGUCACUGUGUGGAUACUUGGAGGCUCCGGGACACGGAGCAGAAGACUCUGUUUGAUUGGAGUUUCAGAACAGGUGUGGCUGGCUGGGGAUUGGAUGGACGACCUGGUGACCUCAUCAGGUCAGGGAGUAGAGCCCCGGCCUGCCCCGCUGAUGAUUGGUUCAGUGCCUGCCAGCUGCACACUGCUCAGUAGCCCCGCCCCCUUUGGAACCCAUUGCCACCUGCUGAUUGGAGAACAUCAGCGGGGAGGGGCAGGACAGGGGGCGGGGUCACAACGUUCUUUUGACUUUUUUUAAUUGUAGUUGUUUUGUGGAUUGAUAGUCGGGAGGAAUCGUGCCCUUAGGUCGAAUACAAUGUGCCUUUGGUUAUUAAUGCCAUUCAUUUAGUAACCCAAGACCAGUAACAUAAUGACUUCAUUCCCCUACAUACACCUACCUACAGCACAUCUCCCCUGAACAUACAUCCAUUUCACAGAUGUGUGAAAUGUUUACAGUCAUUUUCAUGGAUGUUUUCUUCAAGCCCAAAGACAGUCUUCCUGGCUUAACCUCUGAUGUGGUAGCGAGGAGAAAGCCAAGCGGCCGCACAACGACAGGUAUUACAUGGGCCACAUCCACAAUGGCACCCUAUUUCCCUAUAUAGUGCACUACUUUUGAUAGGGCUCUGGUCAAAAGUAGCGCACUAUAUAGGGAAUAGGGUGCCAUUUCGGGAAACACCCUUUGCCAACAGGGAACGCUUAGUAAGAAGCAAUCACCUUAUGCUCUGAAAGGGUUGAGCAACUGACAGCCUCUGUCUUGUCUUAACAUCAAAACAAUUCAAGGGGUUACAGCUGUUAGCUUCAUUUUAUCACUCCCGGAGAGAAGGACAAAAAUACAUUUUAAUCUUUACCUCAGACUGUUGUGAUAGAUAUAUCUUCUUAUUGUGAUGUGAAUAACCCAGGGCAUUUGGUUACAUACCAAAGUGCAUUUCUUUCUACGUUUUGUGGCUAUGAGGAAAUGAAGCCAGUGGAUUUUGCCUCAUUUUUUUUUUACUCAGAAAAAUAAGAGGCACUCAAACCACUUUUGGUCAUUCAAGGGCCAUAGCUAUAUCUAUCUAUAUCUCUAUCUAUCUGUCUGGAGAAUGCUUGUCUUCAGCUGAGAAGGAAGUAGGGAGAUGGAGUACAGUGUUUAUUUUAUUACACCGCUGUCUGAACGGUGUAGCACAACUCCAAACCUCUGUGUGCUCCACACGGUUGGAUGUAGUAGCUUCUUUUCAGUGCAGUGUCAACUGUCCUAUCACAAUCUGCAGUCUAUAGUCGGUGUGUCAGUCAGCCCAAUGUGCUGCUCCACGGUAAGGUAACUUAGCUGUGGCAGAAUCAGGCAUUUGGCUAUAUUGUAAAUGUUUUGAAAAUGACAUUUUUUUAAAAAUAUUUUUUUUUUGCUACUUGUAAGAAUUUUAACUCUUGACUCUCUCGAGAGUUCUACUACACAACUUUUAGAAGACAGUCUCGAGAGCUCUACUACACAACUUUUAGAAGACAGUCUCUAGAGCUCUACUACACAACUUUUAGAAGACAGUCUCGAGAGCUCUACUACACAACUUUUAGAAGACAGUCUCGAGAGCUCUACUACACAACUUUUAGAAGACAGUCUCUAGAGCUCUACUACACAACUUUUAGAAGACAGUCUCUAGAGUUCUACUACACAACUUUUAGAAGACAGUCUCUAGAGUUCUACUACACAACUUUUAGAAGACAGUCUCUAGAGCUCUACUACACAACUUUUAGAAGACAGUCUCUAGAGUUCUACUACACAACUUUUAGAAGACUGUCUCGAGAGUUCUACUACACAACUUUUAGAAGACAGUCUCUAGAGUUCUACUACACAACUUUUAGAAGACAGUCUCGAGAGCUCUACUACACAACUUUUAGAAGACAGUCUCUAGAGUUCUACUACACAACUUUUAGAAGACUGUCUCGAGAGUUCUACUACACAACUUUUAGAAGACAGUCUCUAGAGCUCUACUACACAACUUUUAGAAGACAGUCUCGAGAGUUCUACUACACAACUUUUAGAAGACAGUCUCGAGAGCUCUACUACACAACUUUUAGAAGACAGUCUCUAGAGUUACUACUACACAACUUUUAGAAGACAGUCUCUAGAGUUACUACUACACAACUUUUAGAAGACAGUCUCUAGAGUUACUACUACACAACUUUUAGAAGAAGGAAGUUAAAAAAAAAACAGAAUCUUGAACCGAGCAACAACGUUGAUAGAUGUUAGUACUCUUUACCACAGCCACGUACGCUGUACAUAUGUGAAAUUUGCGAUGGGUUCAAUGUGGAUUUGUGUACAUAUGUAUAAUGUCUUUGCCUCUGGUGAAAUGCUGCUGGAAGCACUACAUGAAUGUUGUAGUGGGUUUUUAAGCUCGGUCAGUUUUACUAUAGUGUAUGUAAUGUACAGCUAAUGGAAGGUCACACUUUUUUUUGUGAUUAUUUGUUAAAUUUUAUUGUUGUGGCCGGGAAAAUGUUAUUAAAUAAAAACAAGUUUUAAUGUCCAUCUUUAUAAA
Molecule: non-coding RNA, 4984 nt
Organism: Oncorhynchus mykiss (rainbow trout)
Lineage: Eukaryota; Metazoa; Chordata; Actinopteri; Salmoniformes; Salmonidae
Source: RefSeq, a predicted model, not a curated record